AAUUUUGGACAAUGGGGGAAACCCUGAUCCAGCCAUCCCGCGUGUAUGAUGAAGGCCUUCGGGUUGUAAAGUACUUUGGGCGGAGAAGAAAAGGUAUCACCUAAUACGGGAUACUGCUGACGGUAUCUACAGAAUAAGCCCCGGCUAACUACGUUCCAGCAGCCGCGGUAAUACGUAGGGUGCAAGCGUUAAUCGGAAUUACUGGGCGUAAAGCGUGUGUAGGAGGUUCGGAAAGAAAGAUGUGAAAACCCAGGGCUCAACCUUGGAACUGCAGUUUUAACUGCCGAGCUAGAGUAUGUCAGAGGGGGGUAGAAUUCCACGUGUAGCAAUGAAAAGCGUAGAUAAGUGGAGGAAUACCGAUGGCGAAAGCAGCCCCCUGGGAUAAUAAUGACGCUCAGACACGAAAGCGUGGGGAGCAAACAGG
This 424-nucleotide ribosomal RNA is filed under the name uncultured bacterium. RNAcentral's name for it is "partial 16S ribosomal RNA". It matches the Rfam family "Bacterial small subunit ribosomal RNA", at positions 360 to 776 of the family's 1533-position model. The record is from RNAcentral.